ACUCAAAGGAAUAGACGGGGGCCCGCACAAGCGGCGGAGCAUGCGGAUUAAUUCGAUGCAACGCGAAGAACCUUACCUGGGUUUGACAUACGCCGGAAAGCCACAGAGAUGUGGCCCCUUUUUGUCGGUGUACAGGUGGUGCAUGGCUGUCGUCAGCUCGUGUCGUGAGAUGUUGGGUUAAGUCCCGCAACGAGCGCAACCCUCGUUCCAUGUUGCCAGCAGCACCUUUUAGGUGGCUGGGGACUCAUGGGAGACUGCCGGGGUCAACUCGGAGGAAGGUGGGGAUGACGUCAAGUCAUCAUGCCCCUUAUGUCCAGGGCUUCACGCAUGCUACAAUGGCCGGUACAAAGGGCUGCGAUCCCGUGAGGGGGAGCGAAUCCCAAAAAGCCGGUCUCAGUUCGGAUUGGGGUCUGCAACUCGACCCCAUGAAGUCGGAGUCGCUAGUAAUCGCAGAUCAGCAACGCUGCGGUGAAUACGUUCCCGGGCCUUGUACACACCGCCCGU
This 504-nucleotide ribosomal RNA is filed under the name uncultured bacterium. RNAcentral's name for it is "partial 16S ribosomal RNA". It matches the Rfam family "Bacterial small subunit ribosomal RNA", at positions 899 to 1397 of the family's 1533-position model. The record is from RNAcentral.